CGUGAGAUGUUGGGUUAAGUCCCNCAACGAGCGCAACCCCUAUCUUUAGUUGCCAUCAGGUUGGGCNGGGCACUCUAGAGAGACUGCCGGUGACAAGCCGGAGGAAGGUGGGGAUGACGUCAAGUCCUCAUGGCCCUUAUGUCCUGGGCUACACACGUGCUACAAUGGCGGUGACAGUGGGAAGCUAGGUGGUGACACCAUGCUGAUCUCUAAAAGCCGUCUCAGUUCGGAUUGCACUCUGCAACUCGAGUGCAUGAAGGUGGAAUCGCUAGUAAUCGCGGAUCAGCAUGCCGCGGUGAAUACGUUCCCGGGUCUUGUACACAC
Molecule: ribosomal RNA, 324 nt
Filed under: uncultured bacterium
Lineage: Bacteria
Description: bacterial SSU rRNA
Rfam family: Bacterial small subunit ribosomal RNA
Source: RNAcentral